RNAcentral lists this ribosomal RNA (673 nucleotides) under Lutibacter sp. RNAcentral describes it as "bacterial SSU rRNA". It matches the Rfam family "Bacterial small subunit ribosomal RNA", at positions 28 to 692 of the family's 1533-position model. The record is from RNAcentral. Lineage: Bacteria; Pseudomonadati; Bacteroidota; Flavobacteriia; Flavobacteriales; Flavobacteriaceae.
GAUGAACGCUAGCGGCAGGCUUAACACAUGCAAGUCGAGGGGUAACAGGGAGAAGCUUGCUUUUCCGCUGACGACCGGCGCACGGGUGCGUAACGCGUAUAGAACCUCCCUAUUACAGAGGAAUAGCCCAGAGAAAUUUGGAUUAAUGCCUCAUAGUAUUAUAGAAUGGCAUCAUUUUAUAAUUAAACAUUUAUGGGUAAAAGAUGGCUAUGCGUUCUAUUAGCUAGUUGGUAAGGUAACGGCUUACCAAGGCUACGAUAGAUAGGGGUCCUGAGAGGGAGAUCCCCCACACUGGUACUGAGACACGGACCAGACUCCUACGGGAGGCAGCAGUGAGGAAUAUUGGACAAUGGAGGCAACUCUGAUCCAGCCAUGCCGCGUGCAGGAAGACGGCCCUAUGGGUUGUAAACUGCUUUUAUAUAGGAAGAAACCUUUCCACGUGUGGAAAGCUGACGGUACUAUAAGAAUAAGCACCGGCUAACUCCGUGCCAGCAGCCGCGGUAAUACGGAGGGUGCAAGCGUUAUCCGGAAUUAUUGGGUUUAAAGGGUCCGUAGGCGGACUAAUAAGUCAGGGGUGAAAUCCAACAGCUUAACUGUUGAACUGCCUUUGAUACUGUUAGUCUUGAAUUAUAUGGAAGUAGAUAGAAUGUGUAGUGUAGCGGUGAAAUGCUUA